CUAUUGACUGCUCUCACAUUUAUUAAGUGAAGUUUAAGCUUCAUGGUUGUUUGUAAUUUUUAUUUUUCAACCAGUCUGGUAAUAUAAUGAAAUGAAACAAUGGCUGCUUUGUGGAAUAGUCCGUCAGUGGAAUAACUAAAAGUUAUUGGAGCCCAACAGCAAAAAUACUUUAGGGACCCCUUAAGCUUUGGGAACAAGACAUUUUUCCUAAACAUGUAUCAAAACUGCUUCUCUGGGGCCUUUAUACUUGCUGAGCCACUUAUCUGUUCCAGAGUCUUUUGCUUUUAUAGUUAAGAACAUUUUUAAAAAAGGAAGCAUUCCCCGGCCCCUAGAGAUUCCCCCUAAAAUCCUAAUCACUUAAUUUAUAACCCUGUAGUGAGUGAGAGUUUUAUGAGGAUAAUAUAAUGUCAACAUAUGAAAAAAAAAGAGACAAACCCCUAUAUAUUGAGCUACACCUGGGCAAUGGUUUAUAAAUACAUAAUACCCUUUAUUUAUUCCUUCUGGAAAAAUGUAUAGCUUAAAAACAUGCACACAUAAGCUAAAAAUUGGCGCAAAGGAUAACAGUUUGGUUAAUGGACUCUGCGGUGUAGUGGGAUCUCAUGUCCCAUAUUACAUAGGAUCAAAAUAACCAGCUAUAAAUUCAUAUUAAUAAUUAUAAUUAUGAAUGAAUGAAAUAGUACCUGGGUACAAAAUACAAGACACAAUAAAGGCGUAUAAUUAAAAACACUAGAGAAUGAGACAAAAUCCCAAAGGUUAACUGCCCAGUGCUCGGUACAAAGAGCAGUGUCAGUAGGUGCAGCUCAGCCCUGUCCUUCUGCCACUCCCUACCUUACUCAUGCAAAUAACAAGCUAUGGGCAGGUAGGGGCCAAACAAUAGGCUGCCUACUUGCCUCCACCUGUCCGUAUCUCUUAGAUCCUCUACUGGCUAAUGCAGUCAGCACUGAAUCUACUGAUUGCUAUCUGAAACAUAACAGAACACAUAUUUUGACAUUAGCUGUCAUUUUCUAUAGUCAGAUAUAGAUGCUCCCUAGUUAAAAAGUUCAAUGUAUUUUCAGUAUAAUCAGCUCUCUAUCUGCCUCUGAGAUCAUGGAUGAUUUGGAUAAAGCUAUAGAAGCGGAGAAUACAAGAAACAUUAUCACUAUCAGUAUCAUUUUGAUUGUGGGCUUCCUGAUUGUCUCUGGGGCAGUCAUUUACCUUAUUAUCCUCUUCAAAAAGCUAGGGCAAAACAGUGAAACAAAAAGAACGUCUGAUACCUUCUAUAUGGUCUUUGGCAACUAUGGGAGUCGAGGAGGCAGCUAAUCAUUAUCCAUCAAACCUAAAGCCCUUGUAUAAUAAACUACAAUCCAUUGCUGUGCUAUGGUAGUUUAUAAUGUCCAUGAUAAAUGUUUCCUGGGUGCACAUCAGGGAUAGAUAUUCUUUUCCUUCGUUUUGGGUUUCCUAUGGGCUUUCUACGGUGAUACAUUGUUGCUAUUCAACUACAACACUGGAUUUAGAACAGAGGAAAUAAGAAAGUGUGAUCACAUCGGUCUUGUAUAAUUAAAUUGUUUUUAAUGUAUAUCAUGCACUUUAUGAGAUUAAUUCACUGACGUUGAAUUUACACUGUAUAUGAUGCACUGCACUUUAGUUAUAUAAUUUUAUUCUUUUUUUAAAAAAAGAAACAACUAGGUUGGCUGGAUAUUAUUAUUGUCAAUUAAGUAUGUAUUCAAUUACCAAUUAACUUGGGGUUGUGGCUAUUGCAUUUGUAUAAAUUUCACUUGCCUUCACUGAUUUGUAUGCUUGAUAAAGGGGUCACAUUGCCCCGAAACGUUGCACCUCCGCAAUAAACUUU
Molecule: long non-coding RNA, 1828 nt
Organism: Xenopus tropicalis (tropical clawed frog)
Lineage: Eukaryota; Metazoa; Chordata; Amphibia; Anura; Pipidae
Exons: 5
Source: RefSeq, a predicted model, not a curated record